CUCAAGAGCCUUCCCAAUGUCCUUCGAUUCAUAAAGAGAAGAAGCAGUCUCCAAAGCACUCUUAGCUUGAUGAAGCUGAGAGAGCUCUUUCUCAGCAUUGGAAUCGCCUGGAUGUAGCUCUAGGUACUUAUGGUAGCUAUUUUCAGAGUCUUCGUAUCUACAGCACUUGAACAGUAAAAUUCAGGGCCUUUUCAAAUGAAAACGAAUGCCAACCUUUCCUUACCUGCAAAAAUGACGAAGGACGGAUGCACGUUUGAAAUAAGCAUCAGAAAGUGCAGGGUCUACUUCAAUAGCAGCAUUGAGAUCAUCCAGGGCAUCGCUAAAACGCUUGACCUUGAUGCUUUGUGAAGCCCUCUCAAAUAACUCAGCUGCAUCUACAGAUUGACCAUCUGUACAAAAAUUACAUAAGCAAAAAAAAUUUAAAAAAGAACACACUCAACGACCAUAGUGAAAUGCAUUCAGUGACAUACAAAACAGAGUCCUCAUCUCGAAUCCGAUCCAAUCACAAGGAACCCUCAAUAUCCUCCACAUAGCGAAGGAGAUUGCCACAAAGAGACGAGAGGAUGGAGAAACUUUCCAGAAAAUAUAGAAUCAAUUCGCCAUUUCAUGCAAAAUUCUAAACCCUAAACAUUCCCAAAUCAACUAACAUCGAUUUUAUCAAACGAAUCCAGAAAAAAAUUACCUAAAGCGGAGACGAGAGGAUGGAGAAGAAGAAGCUGGCAAGCGAAGACGAAGUUGAGGAGAAGAAGAGUGUACGCCAUUCCUCUCCACGCUAAGAUAUCCAUACCCGACCCGAUUCGUAACAGAUCCAUUCUCAAUUUCAAUUCAUAAACAUACAAGUGUGUGUAUACGCGACCUUACACCCCCAAAUGAUUUGGAGUGUUCUGAAUCAGAGAGGCGAACGAAGAAGAAGAAUCUCUGAUUCAAGCUCGCACGAACUCGCGUUUUCAGAUUAUCGUCCUCGAUCGAUUUUUAAGCUUUAGAUUUUGAUUUUGCAGUGCGACUGGUAAGAACACGUUGGUUUAUCCAAUAAAUAUGCUCCACGUGUAGCCUGUUUUAAGUAGGUCCUACUACCGUAUACGUCUGCUAAUGAAAAGCUAACACGUGUGAAUGAGGUAUUUACACGCUGGCCUAACUCUGCCACGUAAGGUUACUAGGCUAUUGGGCCCCUAAUGAGAUUCUACACGAGAUUUAGAAAAUUGAGGGUCAUAAAUAGAACCUGACGAGCUCAAUAUGGGCUUUUGUCGUAUUUUAUGGGCCUAUAAUGUCAGUGUUAAUAACCGGUUCAGUAACAAAUUUUAACAAGAAAAAAGAGAAAUUCAGGUUUAGCAAAAACGUACGAAAUCCUAUCUCCAUGAAAUAAAUCGGAUUUUUAUUUCAUUUUUUUUCUUCAUAACUCUCUUGAUUUGGAUGAAAAUAAACAUUACUUUUCCAAAACGUUAUUAUUCUUAAAAUGCUUUUAAACUUUAAAACUAGCUAUUUAAAUAGUAAAAUAACAUAUAGAAAUUAAAGGCCUACAUAUAUAGCGAUGUUGGUAGAGUGCUCUUUCUUUUCAUGAAUCCUUGCAUUUCUGGCUUAUGGUUAGUGUGGCACUUAGGCUUAGUUAUUGGUGGGGAAAUUAACUUUUACAAUUAUAUAUUGUGUUUGACAAUGAAAAAGGAAUAGUGCAUGGAUCCACAAAACGACAUAUUUCAUUUUUUCUCUAUCUCCUGUGGAUGAGUUAGAGAUAAGUCAAAAUAAAGACAAGGCCUAUAUGUCUACUGAAAGCUGAUAUCGUUAAAAAUAUAUUUAGUUUUUGCAGAAUCCAAAGGAACAUAGACCUCCCAUCUCGAGAACAUGGGUCUGCAUCAAGUUACCUAUAUUGAAAGGAAAUUUAAACAAUAAUGUCGUUUUUAGGUUUAUGUAGUUCUAUAUAAAAUUAAAAUUGCUUCACGGAUUACAGAUUAUAAAGAAACAGUUAUGUAAACCUACGUAACUGAGAUAUUACUAUGACGUUAAAAACUAUAAGUUUACUUCUUAUAUUUUACCUUUGAUGCGACAUUGUGGUCAAGGAGAAUGUUUUUAGGUUAUUAAUUGUAUGAAGCUGAGAGAGCUCUUUCUCAGCAUUGGAAUCGCCUGGAUGUAGCUCUAGGUACUUAUGGUAGCUAUUUUCAGAGUCUUCGUAUCUACAGCACUUGAACAGUAAAAUUCAGGGCCUUUUCAAAUGAAAACGAAUGCCAACCUUUCCUUACCUGCAAAAAUGACGAAG
RNAcentral lists this long non-coding RNA (2248 nucleotides) under Brassica napus (rape). RNAcentral's name for it is "long non-coding RNA (BNAP_LNC025474)". The record is from RNAcentral. Lineage: Eukaryota; Viridiplantae; Streptophyta; Magnoliopsida; Brassicales; Brassicaceae.